Molecule: ribosomal RNA, 380 nt
Filed under: Streptomycetaceae bacterium ACTS228
Lineage: Bacteria; Bacillati; Actinomycetota; Actinomycetes; Kitasatosporales; Streptomycetaceae
Description: bacterial SSU rRNA
Rfam family: Bacterial small subunit ribosomal RNA
Source: RNAcentral
UGGCUCAGGACGAACGCUGGCGGCGUGCUUAACACAUGCAAGUCGAACGAUGAAGCCCUUCGGGGUGGAUUAGUGGCGAACGGGUGAGUAACACGUGGGCAAUCUGCCCUGCACUCUGGGACAAGCCCUGGAAACGGGGUCUAAUACCGGAUAUCACUCUUGCAGGCAUCUGUGAGGGUCGAAAGCUCCGGCGGUGCAGGAUGAGCCCGCGGCCUAUCAGCUUGUUGGUGAGGUAAUGGCUCACCAAGGCGACGACGGGUAGCCGGCCUGAGAGGGCGACCGGCCACACUGGGACUGAGACACGGCCCAGACUCCUACGGGAGGCAGCAGUGGGGAAUAUUGCACAAUGGGCGAAAGCCUGAUGCAGCGACGCCGCGUGA